AACGCGGCGCAUGAGGUCUACACUGCGGCUGCGCAGUUCGCCACCGAGCGUGCGGCUCGUACUGCGCCUGCUCAGACGCGGUGCGCACGCCCCGGGUGGCUCCGGCCUCAAAUUCCCCCAGCCCCAGACGUCGUUUGCAGCCUACGGUUUCCG
RNAcentral lists this long non-coding RNA (153 nucleotides) under Jaculus jaculus (lesser Egyptian jerboa). RNAcentral describes it as "TTC28 antisense RNA 1 conserved region 1 (ENSJJAG00000005700.1)". It matches the Rfam family "TTC28 antisense RNA 1 conserved region 1". The record is from RNAcentral. Lineage: Eukaryota; Metazoa; Chordata; Mammalia; Rodentia; Dipodidae.